This 387-nucleotide ribosomal RNA is filed under the name uncultured archaeon. RNAcentral's name for it is "bacterial SSU rRNA". It matches the Rfam family "Archaeal small subunit ribosomal RNA", at positions 1 to 391 of the family's 1478-position model. The record is from RNAcentral.
UUCCGGUUGAUCCUGCCAGACCCGACUGCUAUCAGAGUAGGACUAAGCCAUGCGAGUCAACGUAUGAAUAAUACGUGGCGAACGGCUCAGUAACACGUAGUCAACAUGCCCAAAGGACGUGGAUAACCUCGGGAAACUGAGGAUAAACCGCGAUAGGUCACAAUUACUGGAAUGUGUUAUGGCUCAAAUCUAUAUGGCCUUUGGAUUGGACUGCGGCCGAUCAGGCUGUUGGUGAGGUAAUGGCCCACCAAACCUGUAACCGGUACGGGCUCUGAGAGGAGGAGCCCGGAGAUGGGCACUGAGACAAGGGCCCAGGCCCUAUGGGGCGCAGCAGGCGCGAAACCCUCUGCAUGGGCGAAAGCCUGACAGGNUUACUCUGAGUGAUUU